GGGACAGAAAAUCAGCCGGCGGCCCGGGCAGCCCCCUCUGAAUCACGGCAGCGAAAGAGUCAGGAGUCAAAGGCAACGAACCCCACUGGAAAAUGUUAUUUACACUAUCCCAAGGGACUACCAGGCAUGACUGCAUCAGAGCACACACUUGAAAAUGGAGAUGAUGAAGCUGCACAAGGAAUGCCACAGUGCAGAAAGGUGAAAGAAAUGUGGCCAAGUGAAGCACAAAGAGAGAGAGACAGCCUAUGGGGUCGAAGCCGAGCCUGAAGGAAACAGCUUCAGCAGCUUACCAGCGAAAAAGUACAG
Molecule: long non-coding RNA, 306 nt
Organism: Harpia harpyja (harpy eagle)
Lineage: Eukaryota; Metazoa; Chordata; Aves; Accipitriformes; Accipitridae
Exons: 3
Source: RefSeq, a predicted model, not a curated record